AGCGAACGCUGGCGGCAGGCUUAACACAUGCAAGUCGAGCGGGCACCUUCGGGUGUCAGCGGCGGACGGGUGAGUAACGCGUGGGAACGUGCCUUCUGGUUCGGAAUAACCCUGGGAGACUAGGGCUAAUACCGGAUACGCCCUUUUGGGGAAAGGUUUACUGCCGGAAGAUCGGCCCGCGUCUGAUUAGCUAGUUGGUGGGGAACGGCCUACCAAGGCGACGAUCAGUAGCUGGUCUGAGAGGAUGAUCAGCCACACUGGGACUGAGACACGGCCCAGACUCCUACGGGAGGCAGCAGUGGGGAAUAUUGGACAAUGGGCGCAAGCCUGAUCCAGCCAUGCCGCGUGAGUGAUGAAGGCCUUAGGGUUGUAAAGCUCUUUUAUCCGGGACGAUAAUGACGGUACCGGAGGAAUAAGCCCCGGCUAACUUCGUGCCAGCAGCCGCGGUAA
Molecule: ribosomal RNA, 450 nt
Filed under: uncultured bacterium
Lineage: Bacteria
Description: partial 16S ribosomal RNA
Rfam family: Bacterial small subunit ribosomal RNA
Source: RNAcentral